This 634-nucleotide ribosomal RNA is filed under the name Ichneumon tuberculipes. Its description in RNAcentral is "eukaryotic LSU rRNA". It matches the Rfam family "Eukaryotic large subunit ribosomal RNA", at positions 590 to 812 of the family's 3401-position model. Lineage: Eukaryota; Metazoa; Arthropoda; Insecta; Hymenoptera; Ichneumonidae. The record is from RNAcentral.
UCGAAUGGGGAGAUUCAUCGUCAGCGAUUCCGGUACGUGUGCGGCUCGCGAUGUCCGAGACUUCGGUCUCGCGGCACGCGUCCGCAUGUUUUUUAUUGCUGGAAUCGUCGGCGUGCACUUCUCCCCUAGUAGGACGUCGCGACCCGUUGGGUGUCGGUCUACGGCACGGUAGGUAGCCUGUCACGCGUGCGCUUCACGGCGUUACGCGGGGCAGACCUCCGUUCGCCCGACCGGCUGCUCGGCGGUACUCGCAAGGUAUCUGGCCGCAGACAUACGAACUGCGUCCGGCCCGUCGCAAGCGCGGCAAGUGUUUCCCGGCUGUCACGGAUCYAAUGCCGUCACCGGGCCUUGCCAGCUGUUGGUUGACGGUGUCCUCGGACUGGCUAACAAAAUUAUGAUACCGGUCGGCGACGCUACUGCUUUGGGUACUUUCAGGACCCGUCUUGAAACACGGACCAAGGAGUCUAACAUGUGCGCGAGUCAUUGGGAGCUAUUAAGCCUAAAGGCGCAAUGAAAGUGAAGAUCGGCCUCGCGCCGAUCGAGGGAGGAUGGGCCGCGUCACGAUGCGGUCCCGCACUCCCGGGGCGUCUCGUUCUCAUUGCGAGAAGAGGCGCACCCAGAGCGUACACGUUGG